UUACUGUUGUUUUCUAUAAAGUACGACCUGAACCUUCAUACCACAGCUGGCAGUGCAUGCUUGUGUGGUCACGGAUGAGAGGUUUUGACCCUAGAGCAAAAAAAAAAAGGGUGAAAGGCAAAGAGUAUAUUCACCAUGCUAGUUACAGCAGCUCAAAAUAACAUGCAGUUUAUUGCAUUGUUAGCUGGAGAACCUGUCAUGCUCACAAAAAGCUGAAGCAGCCUCCCCGUGUGGGACAAGUGGGCUGUUCAGAACAAUAGCAUGAAGCUUGCGCUUGAGAAACUGCUUUCCUCUCCUCCCCACCACCCUUUUGUUAUGACAUAAUCAUUCAUCUUGCUUUGGGUUUUCUCAAGCUAGUGAGUACAGAGGGGAACCAGAACUGCAACUAGCAGGAGCUAACUCCCUCCCUUCUUAGGUAACUGCAACAGUUCCUCUGAUGACAAGGCAAUUCCAGAUUAACCAGAUUUCCUUUCAAAUCCAGCGUGUGUCUGCUACAGCAACAGAGGCUGAGCCUGGCAAGUAACUCCUUAAAAUCCAAAGGCAGUCUCCUGCGCACCAAAGGGUACAAAAGGAGGAGGGAGGUUUAAUAAGCCAUGUUGGAUUUGCUCAGCCCGUCUGCUGUGGUGAAUUUCCAUGAGCAUAACGAGCUCACAAGGUUAGCCAUAGGUACAUCAGGCCUAAUUUCUUCCCAUCAAUGUCACAUUCCUUGGCGUAGCAUUGUGAAUCUCCCCAUUAUCCACUGAGGCCAUAUUCUUUCUUAGAUAUUUCCUUCCUUUGAUUCUUCUAGAGAACUGCCUCUUUCUUUUCAAUAUCUUUUACAGAGAUGAGACUGUUUCCAGAAAAUAGACCGAGCCUUCAUUCUGCAAAAGGGACCCUUUUGCAUAGCCACUUUGUUAGCCUUCCUUGUGGCUGAAUCAGAGCCAUCCAAAAGAAGCAAUACUGCAGUAUCUACGUGACAAGAGAAUACUUUCCUGCUUUGAAAAUGUAGUGACAGCAUCUUCAUUUCCCAGCCGUGGUUUUGCAGUAUACUGUGUCACUUCAUAGCAUUCCACCUGGCUGUAAAGGAAUGGUGAUGACAAGGGGCUUUCCAAAGAAAAUUCUGUGCUGCUUGUUGUGCCCAUGGAGAAAGACGAAAGUGAACAAGGCUUCGUCGGUGAGAAAAUUAAAGGAGGAUAAAUAGAGAGGUAGAAGAAAUCCAGAGGGCAGAGCUGCAGGCCAGAGGCAGCCCAGCUUCUCACAGUGUGCAGUCUGACAUUCUUGACUUGUGCAUUACAUGUACCAAUGGACAGAAAGAAAGCCUUAAAAAUAAACCAGGAAGAAGGAUCGGUGAUUCUAGCUGUGAGUUGAAUGUCAGCCUUUGUGUUAAACUAAAUGCACAAGGAAUACAUAAUUCAGAAUUCCCCAGUGGUUGUCCUGUUUUCCUGUAGAUGAGAAGAGGAUGCAGCCAGCAGGUCUGAUUCCAGAUGAGAUAAGAUUUUGUUAUAACAAAAGUAAUGGUUAAUGAGCACGUUCUCAUUUAAGUGAGUUAUCCACUACCACACACACACACACAAAAAGGUUCUGGCAGACAGGAAGGAAAGGCAUUACCCAAAAUGGUUUUCAGUGUUCUUAAGGAAAAAUCUUACGGUUCUUAUUUGCUAGUUUCUUGGCUUCUUCAUUAUGCAGUCCUUACUCGCAGCAAAACUCUAAUGUGCUGAAUGAAACACAGUCACAAACAGCAUUUGUCUAAAUAGACAGCACCGUAGUACCCGUUUGUUGAAAUCUGAUAUGAAACUUACUUCUAAAAUAUUCUACUUUGUGAGUAUGAAUAAGUACUAAUUUGACUCGGUAUAAAUAAUCCAUAAGUAUUUAGGAUAGACAUGAUUCAACACCAUAAGGAAAGGAAAACUACCACUUGACCACAUGUUUGGUCCUAAAUGGGACAAUGGGCAAUACAGCAUGAGAUUCUGCUGCUGAUCCUCUGGAAUGCAU
Molecule: long non-coding RNA, 1971 nt
Organism: Gallus gallus (chicken)
Lineage: Eukaryota; Metazoa; Chordata; Aves; Galliformes; Phasianidae
Source: Ensembl